RNAcentral lists this long non-coding RNA (1044 nucleotides) under Brassica napus (rape). Its description in RNAcentral is "long non-coding RNA (BNAP_LNC026570)". The record is from RNAcentral. Lineage: Eukaryota; Viridiplantae; Streptophyta; Magnoliopsida; Brassicales; Brassicaceae.
AAAAAAAAAAACAAUUACAAAUAUAUAAGAAGAUGAAGAGAACGAGAGAACAUAGAUAAGAGGAAGGCGAAGUGGGUUGACCUGUGAUGGUGCUGAGUAGGUGAAGCCAACAGAGAGCUUGACCGAGACGAGUGUGCCGCGCCUCCACCUCCGCUUCAGCGCCUCCUUCGCCACAGCUCCUGCGCUUCACUGUCGUCGUUUUCCUCAAAGCCAUGAACUUCGUUUUUGUCUUCUUCCACCCAAACUUCAUGUUCAUGUAGGGACAAAGAAGAAAAAGACACAAGUGAUGAGAGAUUGAGAGAUAAACAAUGUAGAUAAAGAAAAAGACACAAGUGAGGAUAGAUUGAGCUUGGUUUUACCAAUUUCGUCCAGAGAUUGAGAGAAGCUAUGGAGAGAUUGAGAGAUUAAGAUGAGAGAUCGAGAGGAGAGAAAAAAAAAAGAUGAAAAUGAAGAUAUGGUCCAUUCGAUUAAAGUGUAAUCCAAUGGACAUGAAUGAAUAUUUGUCAAUCCUUGCGUGAAAGUAGCAGCCAAUGAGAUUUUUUACAAAUUUGUUUUUAUUUUUUUGUUGUCAUAACGUAUGACAAGAGAGCGCAGAACGAGAGAACAGAGAUAAGAGGAAGGCGAAGUGGGUUGACCUGUGAAGGUGGUGAGUAGGUGAAGCCAACAGAGAGCUUGACCGAGACGAGUCUGCCGCGCCUCCACCUCCGCUUCAGCGCCUCCUUCGCCACAGCUCCUGCGCUUCACUGUCGUCGUUUUCCUCAAAGCCAUGAACUUCGUUUUUGUCUUCUUCCACCCAAACUUCAUGUUCAUGUAGGGACAAAGAAGAAGAAGACACAAGUGAUGAGAGAUUGAGAGAUAAACAAUGUAGAUAAAGAAAAAGACACAAGUGAGGAUAGAUUGAGCUUGGUUUUACCAAUUUCGUCCAGAGAUUGAGAGAAGCUAUGGAGAGAUUGAGAGAUUAAGAUGAGAGAUCGAGAGGAGAGAAAAAAAAAAGAUGAAAAUGAAGAUAUGGUCCAUUCGAUUAAAGUGUAAUCCAAUGGACAA